GGCAGGCCUAACACCAUGCAGUCGAGCGGUAACAGAAAGUAGCUUGCUACUUUGCUGACGAGCGGCGGACGGGUGAGUAAUGCCUAGGGAUCUGCCCAGUCGAGGGGGAUAACAGUUGGAAACGACUGCUAAUACCGCAUACGCCCUACGGGGGAAAGGAGGGGACCUUCGGGCCUUUCGCGAUUGGAUGAACCUAGGUGGGAUUAGCUAGUUGGUGAGGUAAUGGCUCACCAAGGCGACGAUCCCUAGCUGUUCUGAGAGGAUGAUCAGCCACACUGGGACUGAGACACGGCCCAGACUCCUACGGGAGGCAGCAGUGGGGAAUAUUGCACAAUGGGGGAAACCCUGAUGCAGCCAUGCCGCGUGUGUGAAGAAGGCCUUCGGGUUGUAAAGCACUUUCAGUUGUGAGGAAAGGGUGUUGCUUAAUACGUAACAUCCUGUGACGUAGCAACAGAAG
RNAcentral lists this ribosomal RNA (457 nucleotides) under marine sediment bacterium ISA-3222. RNAcentral's name for it is "bacterial SSU rRNA". It matches the Rfam family "Bacterial small subunit ribosomal RNA", at positions 41 to 487 of the family's 1533-position model. The record is from RNAcentral.